This 43171-nucleotide long non-coding RNA is filed under the name Prunus persica (peach). RNAcentral's name for it is "long non-coding RNA (PPER_LNC001510)". The record is from RNAcentral. Lineage: Eukaryota; Viridiplantae; Streptophyta; Magnoliopsida; Rosales; Rosaceae.
AGAAAAAAGAGAGAUGAGAGAAAACUGAAGAGAAGGAAAAAAAAAAGAGAGAAGAGGAAAGGAAAAGAGAGGAAAAAAAAAAGAGAGAAGAGAAGAAAGAAGGAAAAAAAAAAACUGAAGAGAGGAAAAAAAAAAGAGAGGAGAAGAAAAAAAGAGAGAAGAGGAAAGGAAAAGAGAGGAAAAAAAAAGAGAGAAGAGAAGAAAGAAGGAAAAAAACUGAAGAGAGGGAAAAAAAAACUGAAGAGAGGAAAAAAAAAAAAAAAGAGGAGAAGAGACGGGUUGACGGGUUGUACACGGGUUGACACGACCCGUGACACGACCUGUUUAAUAAACGGGUUAGAUAGGUAUUAUAGCGGGUUAGCGGGUUGACCCGAAACCCACCCGUUUAUUAAACGGGUCAGAACGGGUUGACCCGAAAUUGACCCGUUUUUUUAUCGUGCGGGUUGAACCCGCUAAUUUCUUGUGCGGGUUUCGAGUCGUGUAUCGGGUCGUAUCCGAAAUUGCCACCCCUACUUCUAUGACAUACUAUUAACAGUGUACUUCUAUAACAUAAUAUUAACAUAUUUUCAGUAACAAAGCAUACUCUAUAUUUUGCUCUAUAUAUAGUUGUGCACUUGAAGUUUAUGAUAUGCAGAAUGUGAUUUUUACUAGGAAGAUAGUUCUAUGACAUAGCAUUAACAUUGUACUUUGUUUUUCUUGUAGAUGUAUUUCCUUUUGCCUUUGUAAUUGUUUCUGGUGAAACUGUGGACAAUUGGAGGUGGUUUCUGCAAAGGAUAUCAGAUGUCUUGUUGGGCUUUUUUGGGGGUUUUUUUUUUUUUUUUGGUUGAGUUUUUUGUAUAAAAUGGUAUUAACAAUAUACUUCUAUGACAUGGUAUUAACAAUGUACUUUUAUGAUAUGGUAUUAACAAUGUACUUCGAGCUUGCUAUGCUUGUUUUGGGUUUUUUUGGUGGCAAUCAUGUAAUUUAUAGGAACUUCAGUACUUAUUUCUUAUGUAGUAAAUAUUUUUUGGGUAUGUUUCUAAAUUGUAUUCCAUAUGGGUUUUUUUUAUUUUUUUUAUUUAUAAAUUUCAGCCUCUAUUUUGGGUAUAUUACUAAAGCUCCCAAUAAAUUUUAGAAGAUAAUCUCUUGAUUUGAGUCCAAAUUGGGUCAAUUUCAAAUUUCUUUUAUUUAUUUUAAUUUGAUUAUUUUUGUUUUCGGGCUAUUUGGGAGUACUUUUGAAAAUGCUAAGCGCUUCUAAUAGUGUUGGAGAAAAAAAAAUUAUAAGUGCUUUGGAGUCACAAAUGCGCUUUAUAGGUGAGUCUUCAAGAAUCAUUUCAAAAAAUUUGGAUAUUUAAUAUAUAAAAAAUUGACGUUCUUUAAACAAAAGUGCUUCUACAAAAACUCUUAAGAGUAGAAAUGGUGCCUAAAACGUAGUCUAAAAUGAGCAAAUUGUUUAAUUUUUGUUUAUUUUAUUGACAUUAUCCUAUGUUUGGAUGGAGGAAAAUAACUCGGAAUUUAGCUAAAAGUCGGGAAUUGAAGAGAAGAAAUUAGUAUUUCCAUUUUUUUAGCAACUUAAGGAUGAAACUUAAUAAAUGACAAGCGGAAAAAAUCGUGGAAAUUAGGGAUCGAGAUUCUCAAGUUUAAUUUCCUCCAAAAGAGGCGUCAUUUUGGAAUUUCUAUUGAGCCAAAAUUCGUUUUUCACUGUAAUUUCUGCCAUUUACAAAAUUCGACAUACAUAAAUCCAAACAUUGAAAUUAUUAAUUGCUAAAAAUUUAAACCGAUGUAGAUUUAAAUUCUGUCAUUUUAUAAUUCUAUGCAAUUUUUAAUUCCUUGAUUCAAAUGGAGGGUUAACAAUGAGUAACAGGUAAAAGAGAAAUUAAACAAUUAGUGGCAAGUACGAAGAAAUCAAGUACAAGACAGAGCAUAUUAACAAUCAAUAUAAAGCUUUCUGUUGGAGAACCACUAUUUCUAAGAUAUUUAUCAGUAGCAUUGAUCUCUUGUAGAAAACAAAAUAGCAGUUUGGUGUUUUUAACUGUCAACUAACAGAUGCCAUGCAAGUCACAGCUGCAAAUGGGGUGUUGGCAAAUGGCAAAGUGGCGAUUGGCAAUGGCCGGCACACAAGAAGACCGACCCAGAAGAUACUCAAUGAUUGAAUCUCUCUGAUCUGUCAAAAAAAUUAAAGACAUUAAAAAGAAAGCUUCAAGCUCAAGCUCAAGCUCAUAGCUAGCUAGCACUUACGUGGUUGGAGGGCAGGUGUUUAAUUAUUAAUUAAAUAUCAAUAAAAAGACUCACAUUUCUCUUCAUUUUGAUCAUCCCCUUUUGCAUUAAUCACAUCUUUGAUCUCAAAUUCUCAGUCCCCAUAUGGCAAACCCACCUGAGAAAUUGGCCUCAAUUCACGAAGUUUCUACACCACCGGAAGAGAGUUAUGAUGACUUUGAUGAGGAAGAAAUAGCUCCAUCUUCUUCUUGUGGUUGUUUAUGGGGAUUUUAUUUUAGAGCACUGCGUGGAAGAAGCAACAUUGGAACACAGAGAUAUCUACUGCAACAACAAGGAGGAGAUCAAGUAAAAGAAAAUUGGUUGGUGGAGAAUGCGAAGAAAGUACGAGAGUUUUCGGAGGUUUUGGCAGGACCAAAGUGGAAGAAUUUCAUCCGCUCCUUCAGUACAAUUUACAAGAAAAGAAGGGUGCAAUUUCAGUAUGAUCUGCAAAGCUAUGCGCUUAAUUUCGACGAUGGGGGGUUUGACAGGGAAAUAGAGGGUAAUUCUUAUCUUCAUUUUUCGAAUGCCGGAUAUGCAUCUUGUCCAGGGAUGAACAAUGCCAAGUUCUGAUUUGCUAACACUCCCUGUCCUCAUGUUUGCUGUUGUUGCUCUUGCACAGUUUUAUAUGUGUUUCACGUAUAGAUUAAAAUGAGCUACUUGUUUGUUUAUAGAGAUUGUUUAUUAUUCACUCUUUCAUUUGAUCUGUUUCUGACAAAUUUAUGAACAGCUAUAUUUUGCCAGUACUUGAUUGUUUUAUGAUACUUCUUGUGUAUAAUUCUCUGGGCAUAUUUUCUAAAGUUCUGUUUCUUGUUAUGUUCUGUUAUCUGAUUUCUGUGGUAGUUGCCUCAGCUUCUCCAAACCAAUGCCAUCUAGAGAAAUUGGUGCAUGGUUUUUGCACAUACCUCUGCACCAUUAUAUACCGAGUCACUUCACAACACAAUCAAAAGAAAUUGAAACAUGAAGCAGCAUGAUCCAUGCCAUCUGGUUGUACGAAAGAGCGUCAACGAGGCCACUUUAAAAAUUUACAUACCUUUAUUUACUACAAAUUCAUCUCUACAACAAAAUGCCAUAAAGAAAAGCUAUAAUUUAAUUUAAUCACCAGUGUGAUGUAUGUAAGGAACCAUGCUCAGGUCAUUGCACUGUACACCCACCACAACCCCACUUUUCUUAUUCACAGACAUGAAGAUCAUAAACAAAAAAUUGUAAGCCCUCCAGUGGACUAUCCAAUUCAGAUUCAGUAACAUAAUUCCUAAAUACUGAACUCCUAAUGAUAUAUGAUACUACAUGCAUUUGAUCCACCUGCAGCCUUUGAGCAUACCUGUAUAAUGGCUCAUAUUCAGUUUAUCAUCCCAAUCUCAUAAUCAGUGUUAGCCUUUUUCUUUCUGUAGAAUCAAAAUACGAUUCUUUCACUUCAACCCUGUUGUCUUCUUCCAUGAAGUCCUAUGCUAUCACAGUUUCUAUGUUGAAAUUACGGAUGUAGUGGAAGCAUGAACAAAUAAUCAUUCCAGGAAUGGCUCUCGUUUCCUUUUCUCCAUUCAUCCGAAUCGAUCACUGCUGUUUUCACCUGCAUUACUUCUUUUUGAAUUAAGGUUGGUGGGACGCUCAUGAGAAAUUUAAAGUUCAGAAGAAUGCAAGGUUCAAUGAAUAUACCUUUUACGUUUGCUCUUCAAAACUGUGGAAGUUGAAGGAUUGCUGUGCCAGUUCCUCUUCCUCUGAUUGAUGAACCAAUUGUUUAUCUGCUUUAAUUGCAAACCAGUUUCCUGUACCAACCUAGCCUUGUCUUCCUCCUGAAAAUUUAUAUGAAAACCAUGGUAGUUAGGUAUCGAAGGGCAAAAUGUGAAUGCAGUUGGCUUACUAAAGGAUUGCCAAAGCAGUUUCAGCUUGUAGGCUAGGCUACAAUUUUACAUUUAAACCUGUUUAUAUGUGUUCAUCUUUAAGUAAGUAUUCUAAAGACUCCCACAAGCCUACAAGCAUGGCAGGAAAACCAAAAGACUUUCAAAUCAUAAGCAUGCAAACUCAAAGAGCUUCUCAUUAACCUAUACUUACAGUUGGAUAUGGCCACUUUGAAUGUGAUUGCCACCAAGCUUUUAGCACAGAGGUGGUGUCACCAGGAAGCUUUCCAGCUCGUCUCUUGCGCAAAAUUUCCUCCCGUAUGUCUACGAUUUUCUCCUUGUAACCCUGUGAAAAGUUUGCUUAGAUUGGUAACAGAGGAAAUGCAACAGAUUUACACUCAACAAUUCCAUUUUGUCACCUGCUUCAGCUCAUGCUUCAACUCUUGCCUCACACGCUCCAUCAACGACCUUUCGCUCUCUGUCGGGAUAAGAGGGCCGAAUCCCAUGCUGUCAUGACCCUCCAUGCUUCCAUCAAACAAGUUUGCAUCGCUGUCGACUUGGUCGUCUUCAUCAUCAGACAUCGUAGCACCCGUGCCUUCACCGGGGGAAACUCCUGUUCAUCCAGUUUGUAUAAGAAACUAAAACUUCGGUGCUCAAGAGCCAUGAUCACUACCAUUACAUAAAAAAACAUUACCUGUUAAGCUUUGUAGUGAUUGCUCAAUCUCCCAGCAAGCCAUCACUGCUUCCAUGGCAUGCACCCGGACAUGUUGUUGCAGUUGUUCUUUAAAAGAACAAAGCAACAAAACAUAAUGCCUCUAUAAAAUCAUCAACAAGCAGAAACAAUCAGAAACUAUCAAAAUUAAGUUAACAUAUUGUUAAUUAUGGUAAUUGGGUUUAAGCUUAAGGAUCAAGUGAAGAACAUCAGCAAAUGACUUUGCAGAGAGCAAGAGUUGUCUUGUUGUGGUAUGAAUAUCAGCUUUUGUCUUCCCGCAUGUUUAUUUUUUUCUUUUGUUAUAAAAAGCUGGGGUUGUGUCACUCGAGACUCGCUUUUAUUAUGUUUAAAUUAUAUCUGUCAGCACCACCACUGUCCAUAUCUUGUAGCCUUAAAGCUUUUUCAGAUCCCUAUACCCCUAUUUUUUCAAAAUCUUCAGGAAUCUCAUUAUUUCUUCUCAUGGCCAGAAACAUUUCAACCAUGCCAAGUCCUUCCCUUGUGCCACCAUCUCCAACCCAUCUUGAAAAUUAAAUCCCAUAACUUUUUUGUUUUAAAUUCAACAAUUUAAACUUAACCGCAAUACUUAGGAUCUGUUUGAAACUGAUUCUAAAAUUCUUAAAAGCGUUUUUUGACAAUCAAAAUUUCUUUCGUGCAACACAGAACAAAAUUUCUCGAUUCUCGUUAACUCUACCCAAAAUUGAAGAAAAAUUUCUCAUUUCCAAAGUGCAGAAUUUGUAAAUACUAAAAUUCGUCUGUCCUACUAUAAUCUUACUAAUUUGUGUUCUGAUUGAAAUUAUGAUGCUUAAUAAUUGUUCCAAUUUUUAAAAUAUUCUUUAUAGUCGAUUGGCCAAAUUUGAUGACUCAUUAACAAUUCAAAGCCGAGAGACACAAGUCAGCAAAUUAAGUCAUCACAAAUUCACACAAGCAAUCAAAAAAAAAAAAAAGGCAUACCAUGAACUGAUCAAGCUCCUUAUCAUCGCCCACCAUGCCGUGGCCCAAAGCCGAGUACUUAGCCACCACAUUCUGCGACUGAGCCAGCUGGGCGUCGAUCCUCGGCAGCUGGUCCACCGGCGUGGCGAUCCGCAGGCACGCCACGUGUGCCGACAGCAGCGGCUCGUACAGCGGGUGUGCCAGAAUCUCCGCCUUGUGCCUUGCGUUCUGCCAGUUGAUCAUUCCGCCGUCUCCGCCGCCGCCGCCGCUCUCCACGACGAUGUCUGUCUUGUUGAGGCUGCUGUCGGGCUUGAGGUCGGCGGAGUCGUGGGAGAUGGUGGCGGCAAUCAUGGAGUCGCCCGCGACGGCGGUGACGUCAUCGAUGACGUCGCUAUGGUUGCGGUGGAGGAUGGGGCGGUGGGGCUGUGAGAGCCAUUGGUUGGAGGCCUGGGAGGUGGUGGAGUCGGAGGCGGUGACGUGGAGGUUGAGGAAAUUGGAAGCGCCGCCGCCGCCGUUGUUGUUUGGGCUGUUGUUGUGGUUAUUGUUGGCGUCUGCGUUGGUGUAGUUGCGGAGGAGGGCGGUGUUGAGCCAAUUUGGGGCGGGCUGAAAUGGGUGGUGGGGCUCCGUGGGCUUGGAGUUCGGGUCGUGUUGGUCGGAUUGAAAUGGCUGAUGCUGUUGUUGGGUUUGGUCUGUGAAGUGGUGGAGAGGAAGGUCCUGCUGGGAGAGGUGGUUGUGGUAUGCCAUGAUCGACGAUCAGCUGAGUAUUAAAGUAAUUGCAGAGACAGAGACAGAGGACACUCUGUUUCUCUGUGUUUUACAAAUUAAAAAGGAGCAAUUGUAGAAGAUGAUUCUGAGGACAUGGAUAUGAAAAUUUAGAAGCUUUCUGAGAGUCUGAGAAGAUAGGAGAGAGAGACAAGACAAAGAUAUAUGGCUGGAUUUGAUUAUAUCUAUCUCUCUGUGUAGAGAAACUACACGGUGUGUGUGUAGAAACUUAGAGAGAGAGAGAGAGAGAGAGAGAGAGAGAGAGAUGCGAGCUUUUUUGAGUUUUGGGGAGAGAGAUAUUGAAAGGGUUUAGUUAAAGCUUUGAGAGCUUAUAUAUGGGAUGGUACCAAAAACGUAUAUGAGGAAAUUGAGGAGCUGUUUAGACAGAGAGAGGUUUUUGGACAGAGUGGUUUUCAGGCAAGCAAAAUGAGCUCGAGAAACUGCUUUAGCAAGAAAAAAAAUGGUGGGAUUUUGUGGCAGGUUUUAAUAUUAAUUAAGGAGCCAAGGAGCCCAAGGGUCCCCUAUUACUAUUAAACGAAUAUUUUAUUAUUAUUAUUUCACAAUAUGAUAUAGGAGUUGAAAGAAUAGAAAAUUCGGAUCAAAUAGUUGAUUUUAGAAUAUAAUGGUAUUUUAAUUUCUUUACAAAGAAAAAUAAUGGUAUUUUGAAUCUAAUUAAGGGUAGCAAAGAUUUCUUUAAUUAAGAAGCAAAAUGUUUGGGUUUGAUUGAGUGAAAUUUUAUAAGACCACUUAUUAUAUUUUUUUCCCCCAUUUAACAUAAUAUAUGAGAUUUACUAUUCGGGUAGGUUUUUUUUUUUUAACGGACUAUUCGGGCAGUUAUUAUCAAUCCACCUUUCACUUUAUGAGAAUAAUACUAGUCUUACCACAUUUUUAUAUUACAUGAUGUGGCAGCUGAUAUGUACAUGCCACAUCAGUUAAUUAAUAUGAUUAAUACUUUUUAUUCAUUUAUUAAAAUAUAUUUUAUUGAUUUAAUUAAUGUGACAUAUGAUAUGAAUAUGCCACAUCAUUUAGUACAAAAAUAUGAGAUAAAAAUGUGUUAAGUAUAGCAUUACUUUAUUUUUAAUUUAAAAAAAAAUUCACAACCAGAAGUUAGCAUAGGAAAAAAAGAACAAAAAGUAAAAUAACUCAAUGAAAAUCUUGGCAUAUUAUUAUCGUUGAUGGGGGAUUAAUUUAAUAAUCACUGAUAUGAUGUUUACUUUUGUAUGAAACCCCAAUAAAUAAAGAUGAUAAAGUUUUGUCCAUUUGCGUAGACUUUUUAAACAUCCAUAAAUCGUAUGCGAUUUGAAAUUAGAUGAACUAUUAGAAUUGAAUUAGAUAUUUGUCUAGAAUGAUACAGAAUAUUAAUCCUUACAAAAAAAAAAAAAAAGGUUUAACAUAAUCAAAUAGUUAUUACAAUUAGAACGGAGCUUAAACACGAAAUAAUACUCUAAGUAAAUGCAGCUUAAUCCAAAAUUGUGACCGGUAAUAUCGUGAUUAAAUUUUGGAUUAGAUGAAGAUGAGGCAUGGGGAGACUAAUUUAGCUAAAGAAGUUGCCUACACAAUCCUAAAAUGGUAACAAUUGCAUCAAAGUAGAACCAUAUAAAACAUUUCAACCCUCUCAAUCAAUAGCAAAAUUAAAGUGGUUUUGUGAGAGGACACACUCACCACCCCAAAGUUACUCACACGUGAUCGUCAUACUCGAAUAUUUUGAUGCCAAAACAAUUUGGAUUAUAGAAAAAGCAAUUUUAACACUCCCUCCUCUCACUCCACUACCAUAUGCAUGUAAAAGCAACUUCCCAAUUACGAAAGUACACAAACUGUAUCUAGAAAACGCCCUUAUUAGUUUAUAUUUGUACUGAUUAGUAAUAGUAUCCCACAACUCUUGGAGCGUGCCGUCCACGUCACCCUAGCUAGCGUGGCCAACUACCAAUCUGGACCAUCCAACCACAAAGGCGAUGUAUUGCUCAAAACGGCACCGUAUAAUCACAGGCUUACUGGCUACUGGCUACCGGCUACGGCCGGUGAAGGGGAGAAGAGGAGCCGAGGAUCGUAGAAGGAGGGGAGUCGGGACCAUGAAUUACGUCGCUCCUCUCUCCGGCACUCGCGGGAAAACGACGCCUCGACACGCGUCGUGCGCUGCUCGCUUGGACCACGGCGAUGGGACCCGCACCAAGCACGCGCCAAAACGAGAGAAUCGCAACCUUACACGUGGCGUGCUGUGAGAAGCGGGACCAGUGAGAAUUUUUGACUUCUCUGACAGCCGCCGGCUAAAUCAAUUCGAGAUGUGGUCCCCUUUGUGGGAUGCGGUCCCCACUUUCGAGCCCGGUGGGCCCCAAAAUGGCAAGAUUAGGAAAAGGGUUCUAAAAAAAAUACAAAAUAAAAACGGUGAGGGCCCACUUGGGGGGAGAGCGGGUGCUGCUGUGUGUGGCGUUUAUGGCGAACUGUUCACCUACAUGGCUAAUAAAACUAAAAGGCAAAUGGUCCCCUACCUAGUUGCUCUUUGUAUUUUUCAUUUUUAUUAAAUAUUUUUUCAAUUUUAAAUUUAUUUACUGUUAUAUUUUGUUUGCGGAAAUCCCAAAAUUUGAACUCUAUAUAGAGUCAGCUAUUUAUACACAAUUACAACUUGAGCUGAAAUUUACUUUCUAAAGGCCAGUUUGAUUUUUGUUUUUUGUUUUUUGUGCUAUGAUAUAAAGGAAAAUAAGAGCUAUAAUGGAAGUGAGGAUGAGAUGGGAGGAUGGGAGGGAGAAGUAACAAAUGUGAAAAUAAUUUCAAAUAGAUUUCAAAUUUUAAAUUUUGUUUUCACUUUUGUUACUCCUCUCUCUCAUCUUCCACUCUCAUCACUCCUCUCUCCCAUCUCUCACUCGUAUCUUUCCUAUCAGUCUAAUCUCCACUCUCAUUCUCAUUUCCAUUCUAACUCUUUUUUUUCCUUUAUAUUAUGGCACAAAAUAAAAAAAUUUGAAAUGGUUAUCAAACAGGCUCUAAAUUUGUCCAUUUAAUUAUAGAGGGACAGCCAAUAGCGGAAAUAUGUUUAAAUAUACGUUCAACAUCCUCGUUUCACCAAACCAAAUUGAAGAUGUAAUGAUUCAAUUCAAGUGUUUUAAUCUUAUCAUACAACUUUACUACAUUAUUGUUGUACAGAACGAAUACUUGUCCUCAUUUUUCUUUUUCACCCCUACAAUCUCUCAAUUUUAUUCAUUUUAAAUAUAAGUGAUUCGAACAUACGACCUCGGUUGCAGGAAUAACUACUUAAUUACUUGAGUUAUAAGCUCCUUGUCAAUUUUAUUUCUAUUUCUUUGACAAACAACACAAUUUACAUUCUAGUGAUUUAAUUAAAAUUAAUCUCAGAUCAACAGGAAAAAAAAUCAGCAAAAUCAAUGAAUGGGUGCUUCUGUUUGCACCCACUACUAAUAUUAUCAUAUCAUAUGGUUCUUACCCAUUUUAAAAUUAUUUAUUUAAUUUGAAAAAAAAAAUGAAGAUAGAUAUCCUUUGUUCUAUCCCUUGCUACCAUCUUUUAAGCUCAUAAUUCUAUAUAUAGAUAGAUAUUGUGCGGUUCCUACGUACGUACCUUCACUUUAUGGGACAUAAUCUUAUACUAGUUAAGAUAAAGCCUCGAGAUGAUUAAAAAACAAUUAGACCCUAAACCUAUUUUAUAAUUCUGAAGCGACAAAAGAAGAAAGUAUAUUCUAUGGCAUACGGUCUUGGCUUUGGAUAAGGACUGGUAGAAAUUUAAUGUCAAGUAUGACUUUGAUUUCCUAAUACUUUACAAUAUUAUGAUUUAAAAUAAGAGCCAUGUAUGUACAUAUGGUCCUACAUUUACCUCAUUGUCUUGCCUUCUCAACCAUCUUAAUUAGUAUUGAAUUACCUACACUCUACUCUUCCAUUCUCAAAUAUUCUUAGUUGAAAGGUCGAUGAAUGAGUAAAUUACUUCUAGGGUUUUGACUUAGGUAUGAAUUAAACCAUUUGAUUAUAGCGGGUUCGUAAACGGUACCUCUUUUUAGUAGUAAAAUCUACUUCUAGAUGUAAGAGAUUUGUAAUUCAAGUAUUUGAGGGCAGAUGUUCCCAAUAUUAUUUGUAUAAAAAUAUACUUUUAGGGUUUUAAUCUUGAGAUAUGAUAUUAUAUAUAAUCAGACUAAGAACUUCAUAUCUAUCCAUUAAUUCUCAAAAUCAAUUGUAAUUAUUCACGACACAAUAACAUAAUACGUCAAAUUGUCUAACCUAUGAGAUUAUAGUCCAAUGUUUUUGUCACAAACUAAUUGGAAAGACAAAUCUUCUCCAGUCAGAAAGUCUGACAUAUUUGACAAAAAAUUGUUAACAUAAAUCAUUGAUUAGAUGAUUAGUAUGUGUAUUAGUCUAUGCACUUUAAUUAGACUCGAAUUGAAAACGAAAACUAUCACGGUUUAAAAAAAGUAAAAGUAGGGGGUCAUAUGAAUGGGACAAUUUUACCAAUAUGAAACCCAGCUAAGACGGCUCUUGUCGCAUCUCAAAGAGUCAGUCGCUGUUCCAAGCCAUGCGUGCCUUUUAUAUUCAUUAUUCAUAUGUCAUUUCUUAAUUUUAUUUUAAUUAUAAUAAUAAUAAUAAUUUUUAUUUUAUGUCUAGACCUCAAUCUCAAUCGCUUGUCAGAUACUAUUUGUGUUUGGUUUGGCAAAAAGAGAAAGCAAAAGAAGAAGGCACUAUUUCUCUUUUUGGCAUCAACCCAACAACGCCAACAUUAGUUGGGGAUUAAGCAGAUUUGUUAAUAGAAGUUUCUUUUGCUGGUGACACCUAAUCCUUGGAUUAGAGAUCUUAAUCACCAUCCUUUUUCUGUUGUGGCACCCAAAAAAAAUCAAUCGAGUGUACCUGCAAUCACCAAAUUCCUAUUCAUUGCUUUGUUGAUCAUGACUUGGGAGUUGGUUCAUAAUAAUAAUAAUAAUUUUAAGGGAUCAUAUGCAUAUAUAUAAUUUUCAUUAAUCAUUUUCCACCGACAUUCAAAUUUAUAAAGCUCAAAGUUUUCGUUUGGAAUAAAGGGUAUUUCUCAAUAUUAAUGGCUUGGUCGACUAAAUAUUUGUGUUAAAAAGAAUACAAAAACAUAUGGGUAGUAGGAUGAGUAUUUUGAAAAUGAAAAAAAAAAAAAAAAACAUCACUAAACUAUACUCGUACCAUUAGCUUAUGAUAAUUGUGAACACAAAAUAAGUUGCAAGCACAUAAGCAAGAGUUUUGUAGAGACAACUGUAUACAUGUGUGUGAGUGAUUAUUAGUCGUCUAAUGUGAAUUUCACAAUAGAAUUCACACAAAUAUACAACUGACAAUUACUCAUAAACGCAUGAAAAUAUGUUUUCCUGUUUAAUAGCACAUAAGGGAAUGAAAUAGUUUGUGAGCUUCACAUUAUUAUCUGUAACAUAACGACUGGAAAAAUUACACUAUGAAUGUGUGUUGCAUGCAAUUUAAAAGGGUGUGAAGAAACAAUUUUUCAUUUUUUUCCAAGGACAAAAAAAAAUAUAUACAUAUAAACAGUUCGUGAAUGGUUGUGCAGUCUACACGUGUCAUGCUUCAAGCCCAAACGUUAAGAAUCAAUUGAGACGGUUUCGUAGGGCAUCCGUUACCUGUGACCUGCUCAACGUGUAAUUGGCGGGGUUGUCGAAGUCCAGCGAAUCACAGCCCGCCACAAGUUUCCGCUAGGGACGGGUUUCACACUGGGGCCCACACGUUUUACACGAGGCAACAAGUGAAACCCCAAGUGUGGUCCCCACAUGGAUGAUGCAUGCAUACGACACACUUUCACACUCACUAAUUGUAAAAAACCAAAUGGAUUUGCCAAAAACGUGUGAUUAGUCGUAGGUUGAUUGGUAGAUUGGUAGAUUGGUUGAUCAGGAAUUUGUGUGCGUUAAUUGUGUCUGCCAAGAUUAAGGUUCGUUAUUUUUUAAAUUAUAAGUGGAGCCCACUUAAUUAUGGAGGGGACAGGAUUUAAUUAGGGAUUUAGGAGGAGAGUGGAAAAGGUCUUGUAUAGGGUUUUUGUCUGUGUCCUUGUCUUUUAUAAUUUUUGGAUCCAAUUCUUAAUAAUUAGGGCGUACGUGGGAUGGUAGAUGGGAUUUGUGAUGAUUUGGAUUUUGUUGGCUUGUCAUAAAGUUUAUCGAGCUGUUAUUUGUUUUUUCCACAUUGUAUGCCGACUACUUCUACUCUAAUCCCUUUUCAAUACGUCGUUUGUAAAAUCAUAUUGUAUUUUAAUUAUUCAAAUCGUCUAAUUUUUAGAUAUUUUUUUUAAAGAUUAUUUUUGACAAAAAAUCAUUAGAAUUCAAAAUUAUUUGACAACUCAAUUAAAUAGUUGGUAUUUAUUGUUGUCUUUCCUUGAAGUACUGUGUUUGUUAAUUUUGUUGAUUCCAAUUAGAUGCCUUAAUGAUUUUUAAUUUGCCUGUCUUUUUACAAAGAUGAUCUAUAAAUAAAGACUUAAAAAAUAGACAGUUUAGAUCGUUAAAAAAAAAAAUUCAUAAGAAAUUCUAAAAGAUGUCCGUCGAAUAACGAAUCCCGAAAAAAAAAUUGUACUAUCUAUAUAUGCAAACGUGCAACAUAUUUACACAAUUGUACUCCUAGAAGAGGUGGUAUCUGCUGCACUCCUAAUUUCAUUGGAGUUUCGAGGCGCAUGUUGGGGUCCCAAUUGUGUGCUUCAAUGGUUGGCCUUGAGUACAUCAGGUGUAUGUAGGCUUAUUAUAAACAUUCUAAAAAGCGUACAUGUGUCUUGAAGUGGUACGGAUGAAUGACAAUAGUUAAUCUCAUGUGUUGCAAGUUAUGUUACGUAAACUGAGACCCUCAGCCCAAGCUCGUGUGUUUCGUUAACACAAAUGCAUUACUUUAACAAACUUCAAACUUUUUGACAUACUUUUUAUGAAAAUACGUGACAUGACUAUUAGAUAAUCUAAAUUAUAUUUGGCAUACAUCACGUCUCGAUCGACACCCUUGUCAAAUUCAUAUGUACUAAUUUUUGUCACCACAACAUCCCUUUCUUUUAUCAAUGGUUCUACCAAUUGAUACGUUUCCAUAAAUAAUUGAAAUUCACUUUCUUGAUCUAUAUCUUCAAUUCUAGGAACAACCCUCUUUACGUAUGUCAAUUUAUCUAAACUUAAAUGAGAGAUAUAUGUAUUUUCAUUAGAGUAAGUUUGGUGAGGUGAAUCGGUCUCCCUCAAUUAGUCCUAACGAAAAGAUUCUGAAUUUGACAGAUCCUCCAUCUUUGUAUAUAAAUAUAUAAUAUAAUAUACGUACAGAGAGUUUUAGUUUCGGAUAUCUCAAAAUAAGCUUAUUUGACAAAAUUUGUUACUUGUAAUUUUCAAAUAAUGCUGGAAAACAAAGUCCUCGUUGGUUUCCAAACUCGUAGUUAUCAGAUGGUGUCUGUGGGGUAACAUUCUUUUGGAAGAGACUUGGCAAAAAGGUCAAAGGAAGCAAGUAGGAAAAGCGAACCCCAUUGUGAAUUGAUGUUCAGGAAAAAGAAAAGAGGAAAAACCACUCGUGGAUUCUCAUUUGAUCAAAUACCCCAUUAUUGGUUCGUUUUGACCACUCCAUCUCUCCAUGCAUGAAUAUAUGAAAGUAGCUCAUGAUCUGACUGAUGAAAAUAUAUACCUAUUAUUCAAAAUCAUUGUUGUGCUUUUUCUUUUCCCAUUUAUGCCAAAUCAUUUUCUCUCCCAUUCAUUCGCAUCACCAAGCUACCAUAGCUAACCCUAGCUAGCUAGCCGAACAGAUGAAAUGGGCAUUAAGUUUAAGUGGAAUAUUUUGUGCUUGAUGCAUAGCGUGAUAAUUAGACCAACAGUUGUGAUCACAAACUUUUGUGAUGUGCUUGCCUUCCAAUAUUUAUUGGCAUUGAGUUGUCAUCGAACCCUAAAAUCAACAGGUAGUGAGUGGAACAACUCAGAACAUUAUGCAGAAUAAUAUACUUUAAAAAGGACAGAUGUACAAUUUUAAUUAGUUAUGGUGCGCGUGACGAUGAUGUUACCCCACACAAAGUAUGGGGUGGCCUUAUCCAGAGUUUGAAGAAACGUUUUUCUGUGUUUGGUAUUGAAGACAUUUUAUGUUGUACCCCGUUGAUGCUUGCUUAUCGAGGCGCACUUGUGGCUGAAAUCAUUGAGAAAAUGGUAUCAUUUGGGAACAAUUAUAGAGGGGAGAAUUUGGCAAAAAGUGAGAGAGUCCGGGGAAAAAUGCUCACAAGAAUUAUAAAUCAUACAGAAAUCGCAUAAUUGAGACAUGCAAUUUGCUGUGCUUAGAUUAGAUACGUGUAAUUCAGAAGAUGCUCUUCUACAUCUUCACCGUCAAUGCAUGCAUGCACGUAAUCUUGGGUUAAUUAGAGAGGGUUUUAAUUAAGGAUUGUAAGUAAUUAGGAUCAUGUUAUCUUGUUUGAACUUCAUGUUUUGUUACUGGGUUUUGGAGAUUAAUAGCUGGUUUUUUAAUAUGAUGAUGGGAUUAGGCAGUUGCUAAUUUUACCCACCUUCUUUUUCGACUUCAUGUUCCUUUGCCUCCUCUCUGGCCCCCCCUCCUCUAUCUCUUUGUUAGGCUUUCUUGCAUGGACCACAAAAACACUGAGCAUUUCGUGCAUGGACCACUCAACCACUCACCUCUACUUCACUGUGCUCCUUAACCCCACGCCCCACGCCCCACCCCCCACCCCUCCCCAAGAAAAAAAGACCAAAAAAAAAUGUCAAAAUGUUUGAAAGAUACAUGUGGGAAUCCAAUCUCUAUUCUUGACCUAGGCAUAUUUAACUGCCAAUGUUCCACCCAAUCUUUUAUAGCAUUUGUACUUGGUAUUGUUAAGAAAGGAGCUUGAUCUUUUUGUUAAAAUCCCCUCUAUCUAUCAAGGUCAUUGAAUAAAACCCAAUUGCUAAUUCUCUUUACUAUUGAGUUUUUGGGUGAUAAGGAAAUCGAAUACAAAACUUCAGAUCGAGAGGUGAAUGCUUUUGGGUGUGAGUCGCUAGAUAUGUUUAAGUAAAGUUGAAUGAUUGAGAUUUGAAUUUUCAAGUGAGUGAGAGAGAAAGGGAGAAAGAGGAAGGAGAUGAUCCACCUUUAAGAAAGUUGCUAAUUACAAUUAGCCUAGUUAAUUAAUAUCUCAUGUAAAAGAGUGCAAAGUAGAUAAUAUUUUGUUUUGCAAAGGACAGCUUCCGCUGGGGAAGCGUGAAAACUUACCAUCUUAGGCUGUAAGAAGAGGGAACAAAAGACCCAGAAUGGUAAAAAGGAAAAAGGACAGCAACUACAUAUAUAUAUAUAUAUAUAUAUAUAUAUAUAUAUAUAUAUAUAUACCCCACCAGCUCAAUUCAGCUAAUGUAGGCGAUAUUGAUAGAUGAUGAGGAAAAUAAAAGAAAAGAAAGCAACAAAAGGACAUAUAAUAGAGCAAAGCAAAGCAUGGUUUUGAUUUGAUCAUGUUUUGUUUAUUGCCCUUUCUUCUGUGAUGUCACACCAGCCAUCAGGUGCCUCACAACCCUUUUUAAAUAAAUAAAUAUUUUUUUUAGUACAAGUGAUAGUAAGAGAUGAGGUUUUCUCGCAAACACAACAUAGUCAUGAUGUUAUGAAGAUUCGAAUUUAAGACCUCAGUUGGCAAAUCAAUGCCAUUUUAUAUUUGGCUAGAUCUCGUUAGCGUUCUAAUUUUUUUUAUUAUUAAUCAGAGGCACUUGCCAACUUGAAUGAGCAUGAGUUUCCCUCCAAAAAGAGUUUCAAUUCAAAUGACCCUAUCUUUUAUUUUUUUUAUGAUGAAUUAAGUUUGUGUGCUGCUAUAUUGCAAGAGUGUUUUUGUCAAAUUCUUCUCACCAGUGAGAUUGAAAUUUGUGGACUUUAGGGAAGUUUAUUUUAUGCUAUUUGUCAAUGCAUGCCAAAGAAUAAAUCUAGGCCUUGUGGGAUGAAGCUUGACCUACUUUUGGAAAUUUUCUAGUUUUUGACAAAAUUUGUUCAGAAGGGCUGCUAAGGGAAUAUUGGCACAGUGAUCAUAAAUUUGGAAUAUUUUUCAAAGUACUAUGCAUGAAGAAAUUUGUGUAUGUAUCUAUGGAAAUUGAAAACAUUUUGACAUUUUUAUCAUUGUUUGGUGAAAGUUGUCAAAUAAAAUUGCUGACCACCAAAAUGCGACACUGAAAAUUAAUAUGUAUUAUUUCCAAUGUGUUGGCAUAUCAUCUUCAAAGUUAUCUUUCCUUGAAAGGCAACACAAAAUUGUCAUCAAACAUUACAUAAUGUUGGGUGCUGACAUCUUCCUCCCUCCUCAAUCUUCAGGUUCAUUCAUCCUUGUAUAUUCUGGGCUAGUUAGGCCCAUGCAACAUCUGGGUUUCACGCAUCCCCGACUAUCACAAGAGACCCAAAUAAAACGUGUGAGUACGAAACGAGUUAUAAACUCAUAUGUUUUAACUUCGAACUCUCACAUUGAUAAGAAAUUGGAUUGUAUUGUCUUGAAAAAGGUUUACAUAAAUUUAAGGAGGCGGGACAUAUGCAACAACAAAACAAGUUCACAUGUUACACACAUGUCAUUCUCUAUCAAAAACCACAAUUUAAAAAACACAUUCGUACAAAUUUACAAAUUUAUCAAUCACUUUCGUUUGUGUACCAUUCUAACUGAAUCACAUUUCCCACAAUUUUUUCUGGGUCACAUCGCAUUGUUUCAUUUUCUCUAUCUAUACACUGUUGCCGUACACCCAACUGCAAACCAGAGAAGGACCCUAUUUCAGGGUUCCAACUAGCGCCAUAGGCCCACCAAACAAGCCCAUGUUUACUGCUCCUUUCACCUAACCUAAGGAACAAUCCUAGUACCAACUAUCCCUAUAGAACUUCUAAUUUUAAUUUUAAAUUUUUUUAGGGUCGUAGCUGUUUAGCACUAUUAAUCAAAAGAGAUUUAUGUUAAGGAUAAAUACUCACUUCUAUCCGAAUCGUAUUAUAAGAUUCACUUACAUCAACGGCUGACAGUCACUCACGCACGCAUAAAUGACUGUUCAUAACAUAUCUUAUAAAACAAGUUUCACUUUUACAUGUACAAUUUUUUUUUUUUUUUUGCACACGUGUGUAAACGACGGACCGUAACAUUUCUUAUAAAAAAUGUUUCUUUUUUGAAAAACUUGUCUUACACGUGCAUGUAAGUUAUAAUCAAUCAAAUCGUUUGUCCUGGUCGACAUAAGAAAAAUGACUAUUAUUUUCCCUUUCUUCCAUGUAUGUAACUCUGUUUUGGAUAGAGAAUGACUCGUAUAGCGAACCCAUUGGGCAAUUAUAACAUGUUGAUGUACAAACAUCAUAGAAUUGAAUUGGUGAUGGGAUACAAAUGUGACCGCAUAAUGGAAGAAAGUCUCUCUCCCAACUCUUAACACAGUUGCAGGGUCAGGCUUUUAUCCCAUCUUUCACUUUCAUUACAUCUUCAUCACAGAGAGGCGUGUUCUAAAUUUUAAGUAUCAUUGCAAGUUGAAUUGAUUGCUAGAGCUAUCUUAUGUUUCCUUAUGCGUGCAUAAGCAAUUUUUAACCACUGAUAGAUGUAAAGUGUACAAUUUAUUUAUUAUUGUAUUUCACCACCGUCACGAGCCGCUGACACUAGCAAAUGAAAUUAAUCUUACUAUUUACUGUUUAGCAGCACAUGAAUUCUCUUUUACUUUUGUAUGUUGUUUUGUCUUUGAAAAUUAAAUUGGGAGAAAGUGAUUUGAGGUAUGGUCGGAGGAACCUCUUAAUUUGGUGGCUUGAGCAGUUGAGCUAAUACUGGUGGAGGCCACUUUUACAGCAUAUGACUGUCCCUUAAUAAUACCAUUGCCAAGGGGACCGUGGAAACGAAUCUUAUUCUUGUCAAUUUAUAUAAACAACAAGAAACAAUAACAUCAAUCAACUCACCAAAAUUUCCAAAUUUGUUCACAAGUUUUUUCCAAAACCUCCGAGAGUAGCAAAACUCAUGGGUCCAGUUGACGUACAAUAAUUUUAGGCUCAUUAAGAUGUUGUACAACUUUAAAUAAGUAUACAGGCUUAAAAUUAUUACAGAAAAGAAAUAUAAAUAACAACUGAUAAAAUCAUCGGUAACAUGUUCUGAAGGUUUUUUUUUAUUUUUAAAAUUACUCCGGUCGACUCGGGAGAUGUUUCAAAUUGAGUGAAGACAUAAGAAGCUGGCUGUGUUGAAUGUGCAAUUAGAGGAAGCAUUUUGAUCACCAAAAUCCGAAACAGAAAAUGUCAGCUGAGUAAAAUAUCUGAAAAUAUGAAAUUAUGGAAACUAUGGCUGUACUUGAGUUGAGAUAUACAAUUCUAUACCUUAAACUUCAACAGUGUGAAUGAUACUAAAAUUAUCCGGUCAUACCAGCAUGUUCCAUGAAGAAGAAUUAGAAGGCCAUCUGCAAGAGAGAUCACUAAUUUUAGACUGACAGAUAUUCAACAAAACAUGUCCAUGAAUAAGCUCAGAAGUCAAUUGUGAAGCAUUAUCAAGGAAAGAAUGAAACCUUCAAAUAAAUCUCCAAAUCAUUUCUGUGAUAUUCUGCGUCUGUCGCCCCACAAUCUGGAAUAUGCAAACCAAUUUCACACUCACUUCCCUUGUCCCUUACCCAAUUUCACAAACUGCUCCCCUCACUUCCCUUGUCCCUUACCCAAUUUCACAAAAUUUCACCGAGAAAUGGUUGUCCCUCAGCUACUUUCCAAAUGCUCUCCAGCUAAAGCAGGCAAGUGCAUGGAGCCUGUCGCCGUCUUGAGCUUGUCGCUUAAUUCAUCCAACACCGAGUAGAUCUCUUCUGAUUUAGGGUGUGUCUUGUCAGCAACAAGAAACUCAUGAACUACAUCACCAAUCUCAAUCAUGCUACAUCCAGGUAGCUUGCAAAAACUUGCGUCAACCAUUGCCUGUCUAACUGCUUCAACCCUGUCAAACCUUCCAGCUGCAGCAUACAUAUUUGCUAACAACACGUAGGAACCCCCAUCCAUUGCUUCUAAGUUGAAAAUAUGGUCAGCUGCCCACUCUCCCACCUCAAUAUCACCAUGAAUGCUACAAGCAUUAAACAGUGAUCCCCACACAAUUACAUUUGGUUCAAUAUCCAUCCUCUCAAUGAGCUCCCUUGCUUCUUUUAGAAGUGCAGCACGGCCAAGAAGAUCAACCAUGCAACCAUAAUGCUCAACUUUUGGGGUGAUCUUAUCAUUUUUCACCAUCGAAUCAAAGUAUUGCUUGCCUAUUUCAACCAAACCAGCAUGAGCACAAGCAUGUAAAAUCGAAAGAAAGGUUAUGCUAUCCGGAAUAGCACCUGAUUUUCUCAUCUCGUCAAAGAGCUCUAUUGCAGAUCCAGCCUGCCCAUUUGACGCAUAUCCAGAGAGAAUAGUGUUCCAUGUUGCAACAGUUUUUUUAUCCAUUUGAUCAAACACUUCUCUAGCUGCUUCAAUAGAACCGCAUUUUGCAUACAGGUCUACCAAAGAGGUCCCGAUGAACUCGUCCCAAAGUCCAUUCUUCUCUGCAAAUUUCCGAACCCAAUUCCCAAGAUUAAUAGCUCCGGUUUGGGCACAAGCAGACAACAAGCCUGAAAUUGUGUACCUAUCAGGCUUAACAUCCCAAAAACACAUAUCCUUGAAAAGAUCAAUUGCUUCCCUCGAAAACCCAUUAAGGGAAUAACCACUUAUCAAUGAGUUCCACACCACAGAAUUCUUCUCAGGCAUUCCCUCAAACACUCUCUUUGCAUAAUCUAAACAGCCACAUUUUGCAUACAAGUCAACCAUUGCAGCUCCCAGUUUCACACUUAACCCAAAAGUUACCUCUUUUCUCACAUACCCAUGAAUUUCUCUCCCAAGUUUCAAGUUUUUCGAUACCGUGCAAGCCGAUAUCAAUGCCAAAAUCGCGCCUUCAUUGGCCUCAACCUCUCCCACUUUCACCAUCUCCCUAAAAACCUCACAAGCUUCCAAAGCCAUCCCAUUUCGCGCAUAACCCAUUAUCAUGGCAUUCCAGAAAACAACAUCCUUCGCCUUAAAUUCAUCAAACACCUGCCUUGCACUCUCAAUUUUUCCGCAAACCCCAUAAAAGUUUAGCAAAGAACUACACAAAAACCUAUCCGAAUCAAACCCAAUUCUAACAACCACACCAUGAACCUCCCUCCCUUUCUCCACAGCCAAUUCACUAGCACAAGCUUUGAACACAAAAGGGUACGUGAACUGGUCGCCAACCGCAUUUUCGCGUACCCUCAUAUUGUUAUACAUUGAUAAAGCAACAAAUGGGGUUUCUGAUUGAGAAUAUGCUUUGAUCAUGGAAUUGUAAAUGAAGAUGCUUGGCUCUUGGGUUUGAACCAAGAUGCGUGUGGCGUAGUUCAGAGACUGAGGGAACAGGAAGGAAUUGGCGAUUUGGGUGAGGAUGAAAUGGUUGUAGGAAAGGCCUGAGAUUAUAGAUUUGGCAUGGAUUUGCUUCAGUUGAUUAAGGCUUGUGCAGGUUUCUAUGAGAGCUAGGAGUGACUUGGGUCCCUGAGUUUUCAUUAUAGCAUCAGUGGAUCACUGGGAAUUGUACCAGUUGUUCAGUUUAUGUCACUGUAUGGCGGCGGGGAAAUGAGGAGGGAAACAAGAGUCGUGCAAGGUUUUUUGAGUAACGGCAUUUCAAAAUAGAGACUAGUUUUGAUAACUCAUAAAAUCACAAUAAAAAUUUAGUUUUGACUUCAAAUUCCUUACAUAAUUAUCUAGAUAACAAUAUUUUGUGUUUGAUACCCAAUACAUAUUAGUGUAUUUUAAUAAUGCUUUUAAACAUUUGAUAUUCAGGUAACAUCAAUACAUAAUACUUCAAGAAAAGUGGCAUAACUCUUAGGAAAUAAUCAUUGAUCUGGUUUCGAAAUUAAACAAGACGUAAGAUAAAGACCACAAAUGUUUGUUAAAAAAUAAAGAGACCACAAUUGAUCAAUCCGACGACAAUAAUCACCUGCCAAAAUGUUUGUAAAAAAAAAGUAAAGCCAAAUCGAUAGGUUGAACAGGGUGACAACUUAUUUCACAACAUUGUACAAAAUUACAAUAUGAAUAUAAAUGUACAACAGAACACACCCUAAUAAUAAGAAUUUGUUUUCAGAAGUCGAUAAAAUGGAGGGAGGUUCCCCGGCGAAUCUCAAGAACACAUAACUAUAACUCCUGCCGCUGCCAAUAAAAAGCUGGCAUUGUUUACUGACACUGAAAGCAUUGUUCCUCUACUCUAACAUAGUACAUUUUGGGAGCUAAUCCAGCUGAUGUUUUUAGUGGGAAGAAUCAUCAUGCAGUCCCAACAACACGAACAUGAUAUGGGGGCCCACGGCAGAAAAUCGGCUCAUCGGAGGAUUUAGUUCUUGCGCGAGCCCUGAGAAUAUCAUUAGCAUCAUCGAUCACCGAGGCCGCUACCAGUGUGUACUCUCCUGGGACAAGAAAAUACAGAGAGAAAGAAUGCUUGAUUUCUUGAAGCGAAGGAACCUCCACAUUGAUCCCGCUCAAAACACCUACAUACAAAUCAAUCGUAAAACACAUCAGUGACACAUUGUAUUGCAUCUAUGAAAAUUGCAAUGGAAGUUCUAAUAACACUGAUUGCCAAACAAACAGUUUCAGAAAUAAACAAAAAAUAGGCAGGAUUAAAGAGGUGAUUGAAGAAAGGCAUCAUCAUAGAACAUUACCUGAACACAAGACAGUUGCCUUUGUACCCUCUACGCAAUUCUCUCCAGCAACAUCUCGGCAUGUGAUGCUAAGACUCAUCUUGAUCUUCUCCUUUGUGUUAUUACGAACCACGACUUCCAUCGGAGUCAUUUCAUGCGCCAGCACAGAACCCUUAGCUGCAGCAGAGUGAACUUGAACAUUGGGAGAAUUGUGCGAACUAGAAUUUUCAGGUUCAAGGGCAUAUCUAGAAAGCCUGAAGCAAAAUGUCAAUGGGUCUGGCAGCAGUACAUCCAUAACUGAUGUCUGAAGGGCUGCCUGUAUAGCAUCCUUGAUAUUUAGCUCCCCAGAGCUGUUCCGCCCUGAUUGCCACCUAACCUUUAUUUUAGAUAUGAGGUUCUUGAUAGAAGCAUUAAGUUCCGCUUUAGUAUUCCUUUCUGAAAAGCUUGAAUUUCUGCCACUAUUAGCCCCAUCUGCCAGAUUAUCCUUCACAAAGAAAGAAUCAUCAAGAACUGGUAAUUUAAAAUGCUCCAGUGGUAUCAGUACCCUUGCGGAGCAAUCUCGAUCAAUUCUUGUUUUAGGGUAACCAUACUCAGCAGCAUCUCGAUCUCCAGAAAGUCUAUGAUCAUGACUAAAGUUCUCCAGCUGGACUGAAACAGUAAUUUCAAAGACAACAUCAGUGGGAUUAGACAGCUCAAGUUCAAGAAAGCGCAGUCCCCAACUUCCUCUGAAAGGAUCAAUCUUCACCAAUCUGUCCAUCUUAGUUGGAGAACUAAGAGCUUCAGUAGGGCUAUCUUCUAUAUGAACUGGUUUUGGAAGGUUUUCACCCACUUGCGCAGGAAUCUCCAUUGAGAGCAGACGAGCCUUUACAAAAGACAAACCCUGCAAAACACAAAUCUGCAAAGGAACAACCAGGCGCCUGCCAGGGGGAACAGCAGAUUUAUUUGUGGCAGGAUCUCCAAUAUUUGUCAGAGGCCCUGAAAAGUAAAAUGUAAAGCAUUAUUGUCAGAAAGAGAAGUUAUUGGUACUCAUACUCACUACUCAGGAACAAGGUGCCACAGAGAUACAGAGAGCUGUAACUCAUCACUAUGAAAAAACUCCAACAGUUAACUUUAACAAUUAGUAGGAACACAUCAAUAAAAAAAAAUAAAGGUUUAGCAUUCAGUACCAAAUGCUGUGAGAGUAUAUGUGGUGUGGGUAACCUAACCUCCCUAUAUCAAAGCUAAUAAAGCCAAACUCUAGAUUGUGUGUGUGUGUGUGUGUGUGUGAGAGAGAGAGAGAGAGAGAGAGAGAGAGAGAGAGAGAGAGAGAGAGAGAGAGAGAGAGAGAGAGAGAGAGAGUAUUAUAUAGAUUUAUCAAUACCUGCAUAAUGGAUCAACAAUGUGGGGUUACUUCCAUCCUUAGAAUGCCUCACAGUGCCUCCAGAACCACUCCUGCCUGCAGUAUCUGCAUCUGCUAAGACAUGCCGCCAAGCCCUUAAGGUCACAGGUAAAGUCACUUCUGCACCAGGCCUCAACGGAAGGGCUGAGUUUAAGGUUUCAGAUGCAAUCGAGAUAACAGAAUCUUGGUUUUUUCCUGAUAGUGAUACAUGUGCUUGCUCAACUGGAACAGUACCUGCAUUAGCCAGACUUAUCCAUAAAUCAUGAAUUUCACCUUCAUGUAGAAUGAUUGCACCGUCACCCCCGACAACACGUGAUACCAGCAAUGGUAAUGGUGGUACCACAGAAAUGUUUGGAACAGAUAUAUUUUUCAACCUCGCAGACCCACAGCAUCUGAAUGGGUCAGAAAGCACAAGUCCUUGUGUAGCUCCAAGGAGCAGAUUGUCAACAUCCUUAAACAGGUGUUCAGUAAUAACACCAAAGCAGUGGACAGUGCACCCAGGAAUUGUUACCGUCCCCACCGAAGUCGGGAUCCCAGAUAAAGUGACCACCUUUGAUGAAUUGGGUGGAAGGUUUACAGUAACUGGAAAAGCAUCAAAAUUUCCUGAAGGCACUGCGAGAUAUAUACUAUCAACCCUCAAAUCAAAGCCGCAUGGGUUUGCCAGUUCGACCAAAAUCUGAACUGGUUCUCCAACAAUCCAAAUCAGCUCCUGUUUGGUGUUAGUAUUUGCAUCUCCCUUGCUAAAUGGCGUAUAAAUAAAAGGCCCAGUAUUAGCAGCUCCUGCCCACCAGUCUUCUCUUGCUGGAUUGCGCUUUACGAUGUCCAUUUGCGAAGGAUGCAUAGGAAAAGAAUACAAUCUAGAAGCAAGUAUGAUUAAAUUAGAAAAAUCCUCAAAAAAUUUGAUGAGAAUUAAAUGAAGAACAUAAUGGUGAUUUGCCUGUAUCCUUAACAUCAAUAUUCAGUUCAGGAUCACCUUAGAUAUGGGAGAUUUUUAAAAACAAAGGAAUAGAUUGUUACUCAUCGGCAAUAAGAAUAGAACACUUCUUAGCUCUACCACAGGAUCUAAGCACAUUAUAGUUCCACAAAGAGUAUAUAGGUAAAUAAAACAUUGUUUUAAAAAAAAAAAAAAAAAAAAGGCUCUAAAGCAAGUAGCCUCAACUAGACAGAAACAAAAAGUAAAUAAGAAAAACUCUAGCAUCCAUAAAAAAAUCAUCACGUUGGGCAGAGCUAGCAGGUAUUCACUUCUCAUUGCUCUGCAGUCUUUAAGAUUAAAAGGAAAAAAUAAGGAACCUUUCAAAUGAGUUUACUUCAGAUUCGUCUGUAAUUCAUGUAUCAGAAAGAUCUGUUUCAUUGCUGCUCUGCUAGAUUAAGCAUAUUAAUUGCCUUUGAAUAGAUAAAUAAUAUAUAUAAUAAUUAUGGUAAACAUAUAAUUAUUUGUUCAACUCCUAGGUAUCAUGGUCUCUGUGCAACUAUAUACUUGUCUUGCAAUAAAGACAAUGGGAAAAAAAUUACCUAGAGCACAGCAAAUAAUAUUGUUGUUGGGCUUCAUAAGAAAUAAAAUGUUCAUGUACUAACAGGAAAAAUGCAUAGGUACUGGUGAAGACCUAAUGAAAGGUAAAGCAGGGUCAGCACAGCGAGUUCCCGAGGGCAAUCUAUCUGCUGAAUUUGAAAGUGCACUAGCAAGGCCAUUUUGCCCAGCUGGUGUAAUUAAAGGAUAAUAUGAUCUUAGUAGUCUUGCAGCUGCCCCCCAGGCAGCAAGAGGAUCUCCUGCACGGACGGCAGAUAGAAGAAUUUCUCUUAGUACAACCAUCUGUAGUGUGCUCCACUGAGACUCAAAUAGAGAGACUACUGACUGGUGGAGCAUUUUCCCACCCUCAGCAAGGCUUGAUCCAAUUUCCUUCUGUGCAGAAAUAAAACCAGAAUGAGUAGCUGAAAACUUACUAAGGCUCACAAACAAUCAAAGCCACACAACAUAUAAGAAGGUUUACACAUGAAAUUUACUGGGAAAUAAGCAUGCAGACAGACCGAAAUGCAAAUUGUGACCCGGAAUUUUUUGCUUAAUACUUAUAUACUCACUUUGGAAGGAGAGUCUUCUGCGGAAGCUCUACUUUGAACACGAUAUGCUCUUGUGGUCAUUGCUAAAACUUGCAUUGCACUAAUAGCAGCCAGUCUAUUAUCUUGUUGCAAAUAUAACUGAGCUACCUGCCUCGAGAAAAAAGCAGCUUUUCGCUGAUAACCAAGAGUUCCGUAUAACCGAGCUAUUUCAACAUAUAAUACGAGUCUAUCACUGGCAUCAAUAAGAGACUUAGCACCAUCUGCUGCACUUGUUAGGUAUCCCACUACCUCCUUAGCCAGCUCUCGUCUGCCAAAAUAAACCAAAAAUAAAUCCGUAAGAUGAAAUAGUGUAAAUAAUAACUCUCUUCCUAUUAGUAUUUGUGAUCUAAUUCAACUUUUUAGAGCCAGAACAUUAUCCAGUGAGGUCGAGGGAUACAAUCAUACAAGUAAUACAUGCUGCCUUUAUCAAAUCAUAUAACGGUCAUGAACAAAUUUUACCUGCAAAGAAACCUUGCCAUUUUCAAAGUAGCCUCUAGUUCAAAAGUUAAGGGUGAAACUCUGCACAGAAUAGAUUAAUAAAAGUAACUGUUAAAAGAAUAAGUACAUAACUAAAGUAACAACCAUUUAAACACAACGGAAUCUAUGAAUUACCUCUGAGCAUGCUCUUGUAUAAAUGACUUCCUGUAGUGCGAGAUGACACUACUAUACCGAAAUCUAACUUCAUCUUCCACAGCCGAAUCCUUUUCGCCCAUUCGAUCAAUCUAACAACAUGAAUAUAUAAAUCAGUCAUAGGAAAUAAAGCAAUAAGUAAACAGAAAGCCAUGCAAGUCUACGUUACUAAGCACAGGUAACCAUGCAAAAGUCCAGAGAAGUAGCUAUUACCAGUAAGGCACAGACAUUUCCCUCCAAUGCACCAGCAUACCAGAAAAAAUCUCCAGUCAACCUAGCAAGUUCUAGUGCAGUAGUAUAAUGAGCAUUAGCAUCAACAGGUGACCCUGCCAACAAGCAAUAAUCACCCAUUGUCUUCUGGGCACGCCCAAGCCUCCGUUUCUUCGCCUUUAUAACCUGUCAUUUUCAUUGAUUUUGCACUUUACUUUUCAGUACCAAAAAAUGAUAGAAUUCAUAACAUUUAGCACAAAGAAAGAAAUCCACAUACCACCACUCCAAUUCAGAUACAACAAAACUAUAUAUUAACAAUAAUAAUAAUGAUAACAGCUUAAAAUUCUAUAGGACACCUAGACAUGAACCUCCUCUGAGUUGAGAGUAGCUUGAGAAUCCAAAGGCGUCUUGACAAUAGUCCCUGCAGGCUCAGCUUUCAGCACCCAUUUCUCAAACUCCAUCAGCAACGACGCCGCUAUGUCCUGCAUCAUCGUCUGCAAGUGAAACUCUUGCGUCGCCCGAUCUGCUGGCGGAAACAGCAUCAAGUUCCCACCUUUCUUGCUCCCAUCCUCCAACUACAACAAAAAAAAAAAUCCAAAAAGUUUCAAAUUAAGAACAAGAAAAGAGAAGAAUCCAAAAAAAUGGAGAAAAGUCUAGAUUCUGAAUCUCGAGACCUGAGAAUCGCCGGGGCAGAAGGCGAAGCAGCGAUCGACGAGGGCAGAGGCGUAGGCACGGCGAGCCGAGUCGAAUUGGUCGAUGACCGAGUCGAGAUCGGGAGACGAGGGGCAGUGGCAGAUGCCGAUGACGGCUAGGGUUUUGCGAUUGGACUGAAAGUCCUCCCAGGGGGACGGUGGGGCCCCACCGACGAUGAACUUAAACCGGAGGCUGCCGGAGUCCCAUGGCUGAUUUGAAAAUGGGGACUUCUGGUGCUCAGUGUAGAAGGAGCUGAUGGCGGAGAGAGGGAUCGUCUGGAGGCGGAGCAGCAUCGAGUGGUAGUCGCGCAGGAGGACGGGGGGCACGUGGCCGAUGGGGAGGACCGCCACGCGGAUCAUGGAGCUGGUUUCGAUGCUGACGUCCGGCUCCAUUUUUGGGCGGGGAUCGGAGAGUCAGGGGAUUAGGCGUGGGAGUGAGUGUAGAGGAUCGGGAGCAUGAGAGUGGAAGUGCCGCUGUGAGGAAGACACAGAUCGCGUUCUCGGAUUUUGGUUAGUUAAUAAGAUUGAUGGAGAGGAGGGAAAGGUGUUUGGUUGCGGAGUAAUGCGGACUCUGAUUGGGGACAGAGAUGCCCUUGGACGAGUUUAUCAUUUUCUUUUUCUAUUCCUCUAUUUAUUUUAAAAGGUGCACCUUAAAAUUAUACUUUCUUUUGGUUGACGAAGAGGGAUUGAAUUCGGGUGUGAUAGAUAGACACAUUCUCUUGAAAAACUCACCUAAUCAACGUCUAUCAAUGAAAAAUUACACUGUCAUAUGCAAUUUUGCAAAGUUGUAGUAAAACAAUUUUUAACUUAAAAUUCGUAUUACAAAAUUUUUUUACCUUCAUGAUAUAUAUAUACAUGCAGUUCUUAUCUAAUUAGAACUUUAAUGAAACAUAAACUUAUAAUUAUGUGAUUAAUUUAUAAUAUCGCAACAUAAUAUUAUCAAUUCAUUUAUGUUAUAACUACAAAUAAUAAUUUAUCUUUACAAAUAGAAGUUAAACUCAAGCACUGGUUUCAUAUGUGACAACUUUAUUCAAUGGUUGCAAUUGUCUAUACAAGUUUAACCAAAGUUUUAUAAUUUUACUUAAUUUAGAAAAAUGACAAAUAUUGCCCAAAAAGUUAUAAAAAUCUCAACAACAAAAGAAGAGCAGCGAGCAUUCGCGCCUUAUUGUUUGGAAACAAAACCCUAGUGGAACGUAAUUGGAAUUAGAAUACGCACCAACUCAUCUUCUUCUAGAUUGAGAAGGUGCAGCGACACCAUGGCGGACCAUCUGCAACAGUCCUCGCCCCUUCUUCAAGAGAUCCUAAACUCGUUGUCCAAUUCAGUUGAUCAACCGCAAAGCUCAGUGUCAGAGCUCACCAGCUUCCUCGAUUCAGUCCUAGACGCCGCUCUAUCAGACCCAGACAAUGAAGAUGCAGAAACCAAUGCCUUCCUAGCUCUCACCGAAGUUCACAACUUUAUCUCUUCCCCGUCACUGGACCAGGUUUCAUUUCAUCAAAUUCUUCUUCAUUUUGUUUAAAUUUUCGGUCUUUGUAAAUUGUAUGGUUUGAUGUUUACGAACUGUUUGUUGGUUUGCCCAGGCGAUCAUUGAUUCAAUCUCAUUUGAGCUGCCAAUGGCAGUUUCCAAGUUUGGUGGUGUCUCUGAGAGAUGCCUGGAGGUUGCUGAGAGCAUUAUUGAUGGCGUUAUAUCACUGUGUAGUCCGCGAGACAUGCUUUCAAUUCUUUGUGAGGUAUGAAUGUUGCCUUUUUAGUGCAUUUUAUCUCAACUUUUUGUAUUGUUUGUUCUGUUGGGUUUUUAGCUCUUUGAUGAUUUUUUUUAUUGUACUUGGGUCAGGCAUUAGCUCCCCCAAUUGAGACCAUCAGGGAUUCUGGUUAUGUUACGCCUCUUCUAAAUGGGCUUUCAAAAGGUAACUUAUAUGAGCUUCCCUAAUGGUAUUGUUAUCAGAUUUAUUGUAUAUGUCAUAGAUGGAUAUUGAAUUUUACCAAUUGAGUUGAUGAUAGCACUAUUUUGUUAAUUUUAUGUUUCUUUUUUCUUUUGUUAAUUUCAGUGUUUCUUUCCCUUCAGAGGCGUCACUUUGAGCAAGUGAAAGUAGCAGUUCCUAUUAUCGUUAAAGUUUUGAAGGCCAGGUCUUUGGAGUUGGAAGAUGAAGAUCCAGAAUUUAAGAAUUUGUUUGACAGAGCUAUGAGCAUUGCUAAUUCCAUACGUGCAGUUUGUGUAAAGUUGGUAUGUGACAAAUUGAUGCAAUGGUUUUUCCUGGUUAGAGACUAUGCUGAGAUUCUCAACAUAUUCUGUAUCAGAACCUAAUGAUGUUUUGUUCUAUGCUACAGGAAGGUGGAGCAAAUGAUAAGCUUCGUGCACUACUUGGUCUUUAUGUCUUACAGAUUAUGGUCAAACCUCCAUACAAUCUAAGUUCUAGUUUCACUGUUCUUUUUUUUUUUUUUUUUUAUCUGUGUUAUAUAUCUACCCAAAAAAAAAAUUCAAGCUAGACUCUUUUAUAUAUCAUGCCUCCCAUAUUUGGUUUGCUUUGUUUUUUCUUUUAAAAACACUGUUGAUCUGCAGGCUCUUGUCAGCAUGAAUCACAAAGUUUCAAGUUCUCAGCCCUUUGUAUUGCAACUGUCUAGUUUCUUCCCAUUUUGUGGUUUGACGUAUCUUGGUGUAAUAACUGGAUCUGUUGUUGACAUAAUAUCUAGGACAGUUGGAGGUAAAUCCCUUGAAUCACUACUAUUCCUGCCCAUGUAUUAUAUGAUAUUUCACUCUAUUUGUUAUCCAAUUUUAGACCUUGAUGUUUCUUUUCUGUUCUUAAUUUCUGCACACAGAGGAUGAAGAUGAUUAUAUGAGUAAUUUAUCCGAUGUCAAGCAUGGGGCAUCUCUUUCAGGUUUAUGUUUCCGAAUGCUGAUUGCUCCUUUUCUUAUUGUCUCAAUUUUUUUCUAGCUUGAAACUUUGUUUUGCUUUGGUUUUUUCUGUUGCUUUAUUGAAGUGAUCUGGGGCCAUGCCUCUGAUGAGGUUGUUAGAGCUGCUGAGGAGGAUUUGGCUUCUGUCAGGGAUGAACUUAAGAAUAACCAAACUAAAAGGUGGCAAGCUGUUGGCAUGCUAAAGCACAUACUAGCUCCUGUCACUCUGCCAUGGGAACUUAAAAAACAUGCCAUCAACUUCUUGCUCUGCGUUACAGAUGGAAAUAUCCCCCACUAUGAUGAACAUGAUGACUUCUCAUCUUAUAUGUCUAGCAUUUUUGCUACUCUGCAGGUUGCCUCUUGCCAUCAUUAUACGUUGCAGGAGUUUCAUAUUUAUCGAAGAGGAAAAGAGUCUAAUCUGUUUUUUUUUUUUUUUACCUCUUGUGGGCAUGGUACAUUUUAGGCUGUGCAAAUGGUCAUCAUAUAUGCAUCAGAUACAGUGCUCCGAAAGAAUGCCUUUGAAGCAUUCAAAAGGGUGAGGAUUUGUGUUAUUUUUCCUCAGUGUUGCGUUUACCUAUAAUAUAUGUAUUCUGUUACAUUUUUAAUUAGCGAGUAAUAGCUCAGCCUAUGGUCAUUUAGUAGUAAGCUUUUGCAUAGAAUGUACUCUACUUCGUCUGGUUUAGAGUAAAUUAACAUUAAUACUUACUUAUGUUUACCAUCAAAACCAGAUUCUUGCUGAUAUUCCAACUUCUCAGAGGUUUGACAUUUUAAAGGCUUUGAUCACAAAAAGUGAUUCUUCCUCUAUGGUAAAACCUUGAGCGCCAGUUUUUUUGAUAUGUAUUCCUUCCUUUUUUUCGUCUAAUUAGACUUGAUGCGACAUUACCUAAUGUGGGUGUUUCAACCUUAUACAGAUUGCAAUCCUUUUAGAUAUUGUUAAAGGGGAAAUGCACAAGGAAAGUCGCCAUAGACUAGGAAAUGACGAAGUUCUGCAAGCAGAGUAUAAAUCACAUCCACAUACAGUGCUUUGGACUCCCAAUGUCCUUGCAUUGGUGGAGAUGAUUCUAAGACCUCCGGAGGGGGGACCUCCAUCCUUUCCUGAGGAUAGUGAUGCGGUAUUUCUUCCACGUGCUUUGUUAAAUUCUUUUUAUAAAUUUCUUAUAAUACUGAAUUCUCUAUGUUUGAUAUACCAAUAUAUUAUGCAUGAUAUUUAUUUUAUGUCGAUGAGUUUCAAAUCUAAGAUUGCAAUAGCGUCUAAAGAUAUGUUUUACAAUCCCUUAGCUGUCCCACAAUUAGGGAUGCUUGGUUCGCUUUCAACUAGGAUUGGUCUCGUGCAACCAUAGAUUCGCCUAAUGUAGCCAGCCAAUAAUCUUGUUUAACUGCUACAAAUACAAAUCUUCAAAUCUCUGCAGUCUUGGAUUCCUGAACUUAUCUUCUUUUCCUCCCUCGCGUCUUUGGACAUAUUGUCAUCUUUACCAAUAAUGGAACCAUGUUAUGUGGAGUAUAUUCUUCACUUGCACAAUUGUUGCUGUAUGUCGUUUCAUUGCAUAGCAGUUUUUAGUUGCACAAUAGGCCAAGCCCUCAUGAAAUGAACUGACAUGAAGAUAUUUGAGUAUCUAGGUUUUGUCUCUGUCAAAGAUAUUUGAGGUCAAAUUUGAUGUCAAUGAAAGGCAACAAAAUGACAAAAACAUGCCUUAAUUGUCAAGACUCAGUACCGAGUACAGACGCUUAUUGUUUAGGCUUGUUGAUGCUUAUUGGUUAACCUGUUCUGAAUCGUUUGACAAAGUUCCGUACUAUUUCUACAGGUUCUGUCUGCACUCAACCUGUACAGAUUUGUAUUAAUAACAGAAUCAACAGGUAAAUAUCCCAUCAUUGAGUUAAAGCAAUAGCGAAUGUGGAAAACAUCACAGCAAAUUAUAUUGUGUCGUGUGAGUCUUUACUUUUUCCUUUAGAAAGAAAAUGCUUGUUUACGAGUCUCAUUUUUUACUAUUUUUACCCUGAUUAAAAAUGGCACAGGAAAAACUAACUACACCGGAGCGGUGUCCAGAAGCAAUUUACAGAGAGCCUAUAACGAGUGGCUUCUACCUCUACGUUCUGUGGUCACAGCCAUAAUGGCAGAGAACAAGAAUGAUUGUGAUCUUUCCCUUGACGCAUUUUGUAUUUUAAACCCAAUAGAAUUAGUUUUGUACCGCUGUAUUGAGCUUGUUGAAGAUCAGCUCAAACAACACUCUGCGUAAAAGUUGCCAUCACUGGCAUGUGUUUUUCUAGUAAUUCAAAACCCACUCAUAGAACUAUAGAUCCAAAGUUUUUACACGGGCUAGCAUCUCUCUUUUGUAUUUCAGCUAUAGAUACUCUUCCAUUUAUAUAGACGAGUGUUGGUUUUUUUCAUAGCAAGGAUCUAUCUCUUGGCCAUCAAUUCAUGCCACGUGGCAUGAUCUGAGCAGUUGAUAUCAUAAGCACUUUAUCUAUUCAAGGAGCAAAUGUUGUUCACUUGAUGCCAAAAAGAACCACCAAUGUGAUUGCUUUAGACUUUUCAGCAAAAUGGCUCGGAAUGUGGUUCAUGCGUCGCGUCCAUCAUCGCAUUUUCCUUUGGGUAAAAAUGCAAAACCAUCAGCACGCGCGUUCCACAUUUAAUACACCUAGUCUCAUUAAAAAUACCAUUUUCUCAACAAUAAAAAAAAGCACAAUCAGAUGGUUUAUUUAUGAUGACUUUAUAUAUAUAUAUAUAUAUAUAUAUUUAAAUGUUAUUUGCACUCCAAAAAUUAACCUCUUUCCCACCCUCCUUAUGUGUAGGCGCAUGGCAUGCAGACGAGUUCAUGAAGUCAAAGUUUAAAGUGCUUAUUUAUAUACAAUAAUAUAAUCAUGACUUUCUACUUUAAGGGACGCGUGUCUGCAUAUAUAAUUAUGGUGUGGAUGGAUGUCCCAAAGUACACAAAAUUGACAUCAAAUUUAUGGACACAAAAAUUGACAGACUAAUAUUGUCAGAAAAAAAAAAAUAAAAAAAAUAAAAAAAAUUGAAAUCUUAAAAUAAUCAAUAAUACAAUGAGUCAUUGACACCUGUCCGAAAGUUGCAAUUUUGGUGACUGAAAACUAUAACUUGGAUUUCAGAUAGGGUUUUUAAAACCUACAAAGAAUGAUACAAAUUUAUGAUCUAAAUAAUUUGAACAUUAGAAGUAAUGAGGGUUUACCCCAAAGAAUUUUCCAGAGGAAAGCAGCAACAGCUGUGACAUAAACAGAAGCCUCUACAGCCUAAUGGCUAUGACUGCUAAUUUACUAAAAACCCUCAAAACUUAGGUAAAAGGGAUCCAGAUCAGGUUAUAUCUGUAACUUCACUGGAUACGCUCCGACUGACCUCUACUUGUACUACUUAUGAAGAGCUAGUUCCUGGAAUGCGCUAUGUUAUACUGGCAUAUCAAUCAGUUUCUUCAUUGAAAGCAUAAUGCAUUUACUCAUGCUUUCCUCAGCUCAUCCCGUAUAGCGUUUCGGAACCAGAUUCCUCUCCGCACGGCUCCAUGUUUAGAUCAGGCAGCAAGAAAGAAUUGUCUCGGGCUGAAACGGCCUCGCGUUCACUGUAAGAAUCGGAUUGCGCUUCUGCAUGUGGAGGCAAAUUUGAGGGAAUGCCGUAGGUGCUCGACGCUGUUCUCUCGUGGGGUUGACUGGAAAUUGCUUUCCCUGCUCCAUCAAAGUUUGCGCUCAAAUUCCUAGCAGGAUGCAUGUUCAAGUCGAGCUGCAAAACAAAAUUAUAAGGUAUUCAGCCAAAAAAGCCAUAGCAGAUGCAAAUAAUUGUAUCCAAUCUAAAGGACAAAAGGGCAGAUCCAGGAGAAAGGAUCCUAGAAGAAAAAUAGUAUAUAUAUAUAUAUAUAUAUAGGAUAAAGAACACCAGAAUUCACCUUGAUUCUCUUAAAGUUCUCAUUUUUGGCUCUUUGUUGCUUAAAAGUUGCUUGUAAGGUCGCUAUUUCCUUUUCCAAAUAUGUCCUUUCCUUCAACAACGAACUUUCCUCCUCCUUAAGCUCAGCAAAUGUCUGAAAAAUGACAUCCAAGUCCAUAUCAGAUCGAAGUUAAAAAGCAUCCUAUUGCAGAUUAGAAAAUGACAGUAACUAAACAAACAAAUAAAAAAAGAAUCAAAACAAAUCUGGAAAACUAAUUAAUUCUCAAUUCUCAAUGCAUUCUUUUAAAUAAUUGUUGUUUGUUAUCUUGAACAUGAAACCAAGUGGGGGCCAAAAAGAAGAUUUGGGUUUACCUUCUUUCUCCUUGCCCUCUUGGUGGCAGUGGUGGUGCUGGUGGAUUCAUACGUAGCAGUUCCCUGAGAGACAUCAAUGCAAAACACACUUCAGCAAAUACACCCACAAAAAGCAAAAAGAGAACAUAUCAUAAAAGGACACCAAAAACAUCCAAAAACCAAUUUCUUUUCUUUUCUUUAAAUCUCAAAACUUUCACCAAUCCAGUAGAAGCCUGCAAUAAUUAUUCCUUUGCCAAUUAAAUUUACCGUUUCUCUGGACUUUGGAUAAAGCUUCCCCAUCCCAAUGAUGAGUAAGCUUAAACCCAUUUAGAAAUUCACAUCAUGAAUAUCCACGUGGCCUGGCCACACAUGACAAGCUCCUUAUUUUAUUCCUCACGUGACUUGCUCACAUGCCUCUGCUUCUCCUCCCAUGGCCUCCUCUCCUCCAUAGUCCAUACAAACAUUGCCUCUCGCUUCGCUUCCUUCCACACCGAACCCAAAUCCCCUCGUCCAAAAAUAAUAAAUAAUAAAUUAAAAAAUAUAUCGUAAUUCUUUAAACUAAAUAAGCGACAAGGACCACAGCCACCACUCUCACCAAACCAUCCUUGACCGUCAGAUUCACAUACCCAAUAAAACUCAAUCCCCCAAUCAGCGGCCACAACCAUCCCAUCGAGUUCCUCUGGAUCUCCAGAAAACAUAAGAAAAAGAAAAGCGUUAUCAAAGGAGAUGAUGGUCCAUAAAAGCCGCUGACUGCGCCCGCGCCACAGAGGAAAAUUACCCCAGCAACCCCCACUAACAACGCCACACCAAAACCGAACGCAGACCUAUCCCUAAGCCAAACUCACUUCCCCCAAAUGGCCCCACCACGCUUUUAAGAUAGGCCCACGUCACCACCACACCCUACUCCCCUUUUUAUUACUAUGACCGAAAUACCCUCCUCCUGUUUGCUAUGCCCAUCUAUAUUCGUACUUUUGACUCGACGCGAGAUGCGACUUUUGUCGCGAGCAAAAAGGGAUCAGACGAGUAAGCUCGUCGUCUCAGGGAAAUUUCGCGGUUUUCACUCUCUGCGGUAAAUCUCGGAAUUGACGGGAGUGUCCUUUGGUGAUCACAAUCUAGGGAGGAGUUUGGAAGGGUAGUUUGGUAAAUCUCGCAGGCGAAUCAAGAAAGGCAGGUUACCGGCAAAAGGAGCGAGACGAAAACGUGAAGGAGGUCUCGAUCUGCUACAUCACGUGAGGGAUAUGGAAAGGCACACGCGGGUCGGGGGCAUUUUGGUCAUGAAAUUGUGCGAACGACGUCGUACACGGCGGCUAAAAAGGGUUGACCGCCGGCGAUUAUCGAGCUAACCAAAGAAGGAAAAAUCUAAAGAAGAUAACGAAAUGACGAAUUUGACCUCGUCAGCAUUAGCAGCUCAAGAGACGACAAACGAAACGCGAUAGGAAAUCAGAAACGUCGGUUUCGAAAUCCAGAUUAGAAAACGGAAAAACUGAUGACAAGGUAAAUUAGGUAGAGGAAGAAGGCUGAAGAUGGUAAAGUGAAAAAGAAGCCAUGAAAUGCGUGUGUCGUCGACGAACACGCUAAAAGCCUCAGCCGCCUCAUGAACACUGAGGCUCGUGCGGUUCUGGUCUCUGCUUAUUAGCAGAACCAGACGCAAAUACGAACAACCGCCGUGGGUAUUUCCGUCAAAUAACAAAGAGACUCGAAGAGUCUUCACUUCAUACACAGCAAGCAGAGAUCAGCUAACAGGAAAUCCAAAGCACAAAAAAGCGAAAAGCAGAGAAAGAGAGAGAGAUGGAGACCUUGGAUCUGGGACAGCUGGACUCUUCGAAGCCGUCGGCGGUGGCGGAGGGGGAGCCGGUGCCGCCGCUCCAGGAGAGCGGCGUGGUGGGGCUGCAUCUAGUGGCGGAAUCGGUGCCGUGCUUGCUGAUGUUCCUCUGCCGCGAAACGACGCCGUCGAAUCUGGACGCCGAUGACGCUGACUUGGAGCGUGGCAGCCGGAUGCCCCACCUGAGCGGAAUCGACUCCAACAACGGAGACGAGGAAGACGAGGCGGCCGUCUGCGACUGCUUGAGCCGCACCAGAAGCUCCACGACGAGCAUGUCGUCGGUCAUCGCCGCUCUCAUCCACUCGUCUUUGACCACCAUCAUCUCAGCAAAUGGUUCUAGAAAGAGAGAGAGAGACAGAGAAAAGGCUUUAGAGAGAGAAAGUAGGGUGGCGGAUGAAUGAAUGAGAGAAGAAAAGGAGAUGGGUUUUGAAAAAAUAUAUAUGGGGGGUGGGUCAGGAGGGGUGGUGGCGUUAAAUAUAUUUGUGUGUGUGGUGAAGAAAGUGGGAAAAAUUGAUUCUUCAGUUUUUUUUUUUUUUUUUUUUUUUGGGUUUUGUUUUGUUUCUUCUUCCUCUUCUCUUCUCUUCUCUUCGCUUGGUGUUGUUGUUAGGGUGGGUCUCGUCUGUGUGACUCUGACUCUUUUUCUGCUCUUUCUUUUUAAUUUUCUUAAUUUCUUUUUUUUUAAAGUGCUGGGCCCACAUGGUGACGUGUGUCGCUGACAAGAUUCAAUUUGUCAUGGGUUAUUAUUGGGUUAUUCCCUUCUUAAUUGGGGGAUUUGUGAUCACGAGUAACGAAACGACAGCGUUUUGCUGUCCAUCGGCUUGCUCCCCUGCUUUGCUUUGUGUGAUGCGUUCCUUUUGUGCGCCAAAGGGGCAAAGGGCAUGAGCAUGACCACUUCAAACUUUACGGCCUAUAUAUAUAUAUAACUUUAAUUUACUUUACCAAAUCCAAAAUGCUUAGCCUAACAAAUAUAUAAACAAUGUUUGCUUCAAAUUUCCGUCUCCAACUCUAUCUUUCAACUUUCUUUUCAACAUGUUUGCUAAAUCGAAUAAAACAUCCAAUCCAAACCUCUACAAUUCCACAAUUCACUCGUAUACUUAAAACUAACUCAAGUUUAAAACACAAGGAACUCAUUUUUAAAUCAUUAAUACACAAUAUGUCAAAACACUUUUAGGUAAGUUGAAGAAAGAAAGAAAAAAAAUGAGAGUUUUAAUUUUAUUUGAAUUUCAAUUAUUACAUAUCAAAUAGCGUUGUCUUGUUUGCGCUUUUCAAAUUCUUGUUGUCACUCUCGCUUGAAUGAACGAACACAAAAUAGAUGUUUUUUGCCAUUUUAUAUUAGUAUAUUGUUAAUUUGGCACGACGCGCUAAAAUUAAUAUUUUAAAUUAUUGGUAUGUUAAUAUAGCAUGCCAAACUAUUUAGUAUAAUUGAGGUUCGAAAUCCAUAACGAAAAGGAAUUAUAAAACUAUUUAGUAUAGUUGAAAACCAUUAUUAGAAAGUUAGGUGGACAAUGUUUAAGCAUGAAGGGUUAUACUAAUCACUUAAUAUAACAAUCGAUCCAAAGGCAAAGUUAUUGCCUUUCCAUAAGUAUCUUACCACUUCUAGUAACUCUAAAGAUUCUUUGAAACAGAAAAACUUACGAGUGACAUGAAACUUGAUCUUAUCAUCACCUUUACUUUUUUUUUUCUUUUUUUUCAAAUUUUAUCUGUCAAUAAAACAUCAGCAACUUAAUUUGGUCUGCUCUGUUUCAUCAUAGAAAAUUCAGAAAUGUUUAUCGGCAUGAUUCAGAAGGGUUUGCAAGUAAAUGUUCUGCAUGAUAAAAAAGCUAGCAAGCUUCUUGAUAAGGUUGCCUUUUUGGGUUUCUGAACUUUACUAUUAGGCUCGUGAACUGGGGAGGGUUUAUCUCUUGCCUAUUCGGCUGGAAAUAUCUAUUUGCCAAUCACACUACUUUCAUACUGUAUUCUUUUCUAGGUCAUAAAUUUCCGCUAAAAGUGUAAAACCAGUCGGAUUAUCACCAACGUAAUUUGAAUGUGGUAUAACUAGACUGGGUGUGACACAACCACAAAAUAAAUCGAGCUUGCACAAGCAUGAUGGAUGUACUUAUAAUGUGCAGCAAACGAGUAUGAAACAACCACAAAUGUCUAACACAUCAAAUAAGAGUACAAGCCGUGGCAGAGCCACUCCUAGACCAAAAGUGACACUGGCCCCCCCAAUUUUUCACAUCUCUCUCCUCUAAUAUAUUAUACAACGAGUAAUAGACAACUUUUAAUUUAUUAAUGGCCCAUCUAAAACAAAUUAUACAUAUUAAGUUAGAAAUAUUUUAGCUCUAACAUGUAAUUCUUGAAAACUUAUGCAUUUGAUAUAUUUGUAUUUUUCUAUCCCCCCUCUCCUCUAACCUUACAAUUCUAGCUUCGCUCCUUAGUACAAGUAACAAAAUGCAAGCACAAACAUGAAAUAAACUUUUACUAGAACGAUGGACGACAUAGUUAAUAUUUUAUUUUCUCCGUUUUGUUUCUUUUUGGCAAUGGAUCAUGGGGCUCGAUGAAAAUUCUGCAGGACCAUUCUUUAUCAGCUGCAUAUUUAUGGAAACCCUCGAAAUUGUAAUGAAAAAUUGAAAACAUUUGCCCUUUCUGGGAACCAGCAUCAGCCCUCUAGGGAAUGGAUAUCACAAAUCUAGUUGGUGUGAAGGAUAUUCAUGGUUCGAAAAUGCGGUUGGUGAACCCAAAAAAUGCAGGACCUAAUUUUAUACUGCUGCUGGAUCCAAAAUAACUUUGAGGCAACGAGUGUGAGUUAAUGGGAUAUUCCGCUAAUCAAGGCCUUAAUGUGGGUCGUGGCCUCAUAAAAGAGUUUGGUCUAUCAAAGUACAGGGCCGUUUUUAUUUGGAGUCGUUCGUGUUCAUACAAACUUUUAUUGCCCAAGCAUAUACUUUAUGUGAUAUUAAUCUGUCACAGUAACAACUUUUGCUUUGAAAGUCUAUUUUUUCCUUUUAAUUUUAUUUAAUUAUUAAUUUGAUCAAUACACUUUAGACAAGUAUUAGAAAUUAGGUUACGGAUUUUUUUUUUAAAUUUAAAAUUAGGGGUUCUUGAUGUACUGAUCAAUUUUUAGGCUGUCCAAGAAAGAUUUUGUAAACCCAAAUAGACGAAUAGCAACUCCUAACAGCCCAUAAACAUUGCGUGGUACAACGGAAUGUAGUCUAGUCUAAUGAAAAAAUGCAUUAACUUGCAAACUAAUAUUCUCAUGUUCAAACUGCAAACUGCAUCACCAAGUUUCAUGGACCAAACAUUUUCGCACACUAAUUGCUGGUGCACCUUCAUAACCUAAAUAUGACAAAGCUAUAAAACUAAAUAUUAAUUAAAAGAAAAGGUAUCACACCUCCAUAUUAAUUUAUUUUUGGUAUAAAAAUUUCAACCUUCACUCAUUUAAAGAGUUCGUUUGAGAGUGAUUUUGGAUAGACAACAUUUUUCACACCUCCUGUAAAGCUUCAUAAUUUCUGAAACUGAUGCAAACGUCUUUUGAAGCUUUGGUCCAGAAGGCUCACAGCUCAGCAUCCCACAUUUGGGCCUUACCAAGACCAAAAGCAAAACCAGUAGAAGUCACCAAAACUGUCCCUAACUGAGCUGCAGACCCUUCCACUGACAUAAAAAGUGAUUCUGUUUAUUGGGAAGCCAUCUGCUUUUCUUUACCUUUAAGAAAACGAAAAAAAAAAGAAAUGCUUUUUAGCUUUUACUUUUGACAGCUCCAACCAAAAGCACUGUUGUAACCCAUUUGAUUUUUACUAGCUUUACAACCCAUGUUGUUCAUCAUAAUCUCACAGCAAUUGAACUUUCCCAGAAGUCAAUUCCCACAAAUCAAACCCCAUUUCUGUUUGCUUCAAUUUGUAAUUCCAUCAAACACCAAUAUAAUUAAAACCCAAAUUUCACUAACAACAUAUUUGCAACUAUAAGUAAAAACUUAGGACACAGAAUAUACCCUAAUUUUACAGAUACAGCUCAUGAAAAACUAUACCUUCCAACCCUAAUCUAAUCUUAUACUUGUACUGUAAGACACAAAGGAAAUGCAACCAAACCCUAAUUUAAUUGAAAACGAAAAACAAAUUUAAAGAAACAAGAAAAAUGAAGCCUUCUACUGCUGCACAUAAUCUAAAGAGAAGAAAAAGCGUUAGGUCGAAUUGUGACCUCAUCCAUCUAUCUUCCCACGAAAAGAUAAGGGGAAGGGCGAGAAUCAGACAACACGAACAUUAGCCAGACGGGGUCUCUAUACUGCUGCACAUGCUUGGUCCGCCAUGGACCGGCGACCCAUCUACGACAAAUUGAGCCGCAGAAGCUUCAGCAGCACGCUUGCAGCUUCAUCGGUGCUUGAAGGGGCGCUCUUCUUUGCGAAGAACGACGGCAGAGGUAGGGACUCCGGGGGAGGCGCAGCUAUACACGACGACGACCCGGCGUAGAACCCGGAAGCCCAGUUCCGUUCCGGAACCUUCUUCGAGUCAGGACCCAUCCGGCUGGUGGAUCCGAGAUCCGGAACCUGGGGAUUGGGAUUCUGCUUCUGUGGUGACCGAACCGGAGUCGCUUUGGGGAUUUCGUCGCCGCGUUUUAGGAUUUUGACCUGGCCCAUGACGAUAUUCUUGGGGGCUGCGGGUUUCUGGACCGGAGAGGGUGAGUUGUUGUUGGGCCGGGUCGGCCUUCGCUUCUUCCGGUCGGUUUGGGGAGAGGUUCUGACCCGAUUAGGGUUAGGGUUUCGAUUGGGAUUCAUCAGCGCUUGCUGAGGUGAGAGAGAGUCUUUGAGGCAAUUCUGGGGACUGAGAACUUGAACACCCAUCUAAAAUCUCACAAAAUCAGAUCCAAAAAUUCGAGCUCUUGCUACGAAAGAGAAGGAGGAAAUGAAAAACUUUGGGAAUUUACAGAGAGAAAUGUGACUGUGUGAAGAUUGGGAAGGAAGUAGGGUUGAGUUUUAUAGGGGAAGAUAAGAGACCUGAAGGGAAUAGGAGUAGGAAAAGCGACAAAAGGCGGUAGUGUAUAAUAGAAUCCACUUUCAUCAACCCCCCCUUGGGGGUUUCCUUCCUACACCGGUUUUUAGCCAUCAUUAUUGUUUCCCUUCACGAAUCUCAAUUAGGUUUCCUUUCCUUUUCUUUUUAGGAAAACGAUUACGUUUCCCAAAACACAUUUUGGUAUUAUUAUUUUCUUAGUGAUUUAGAAUUCAAACUUUUCUUGUUGAGGAAGAAAGUGCCCGAAAUUAGAUAUUAUGUUGUUUUUAGGUUUCCUAAAACACAUUUGUUAUUUUUUAAAGUGACUUAAAAUUCAAACUUUUCUUUUUGAAGAAGAAGGGACCCAACUUUUAAAUGUGUUACCAAAAUUCCUUAUUAUUGUGUUUAUCACAACUCCUAUUCUUAAGUAAUUAUUACAAAUUCUGAAAACUUCUUCGGAUGCUUCUCAUAGCUCAGCAUCCGAGACCAGCAGCACAACCAAUAACAACCACCAUAAUUUUCCCUAGCAAAGCAUGGGUUUCAAUUUAGGAGCUUCUCCGCUUAACCAGUACUUAGCUGCAGACCCUUCCAUCGGCAUGGAUUAUGUUUUUGGGAAGUCAUCUGCUUUUGUUUACCCUUACAAUCCAUUUGGUUCGCAUAUUGAAACUCUUGAGAAUGAAUUUCCCAUGUUUAAUCUCAUGAGUUGAGAAUAGAGGAUGCUCAGUCCUAUAUUUGUAAAAGUUGAGAAAUGAGGAUUAUGAAAGGUCAUUUUAUCACAUUCCCAUUGGUUUGUGGAGUAUUAGGAAUUAAAAUUGUUCAUCUUUCCAACAAUAUUCUUAUCUUUUUUUUUUUAAUUAAAGAGAAAUAAAUACGAAGAGUUUUUCUAAGAGUAAAAUAUGGUAUUUUAAAAAUAAGAUAUGGGUAAGUUAGCCAUAAAAAUUUGAAUUAAAUGCUUUCCCAUGUGGGGGAAAACAAAUUCCCAAGCUCAGCCAGGGUAUGAAAUUCCCUUUACAUGGGAAGUCAACACCCACGAGUCUAUAAUUGCAUUUCCAAUAGUGUACUUACUAAACAUGCGAAUGGAAUUUCAAACUAAUUCUCAAAUUCCCAAAUUUUGAACUAAACGAGACAUUAUGGUGUGUUUGGUUCAGGGAAAAUGGGGCUUGGGAUAGGAAAUUAGAAUUUUCUCAUGUUUUAUAAACCGAGUCAUAGAAAAUGAUUGCCUGACACAUGAGAAACUAGGAAAAAUUAAACUCUCAAACCCCUGAGGUGAGCAUUAAAUGCACAUUUUUAUGACUAUUUUGUCCAAUUCACAAUUUAUCACUUUGACUAUUCUUUUAUUUUAUUCAAUUCAUAUUUUUAAAAUGGGUAUACUUUAUAUUAAAUUUGUUUUAUAUUUAUACACAAACCAAACAUAAAAAAUUAAAUUCAAUAAUUUUUCACCUUCCCAAUAUUACCAAACAUAGAAAAAGAAUCAUCCUAUCAUCCAUAUCUCAUCUCUUGUAAAAGACAUUGAAAAUGAUUUCCCAUCAAAUCUUUUGAUCGACAGAACUGCUUUUGUCCUUUUGCUUUUGAUAACUCCAACCCAACCCAAACCACAAAGUCUCCAUAAAUAACCAUACAAGUUCAACAAAACCAAACAGAGUCCAGUGAAAUUCUGAGGUAAACAUUUGAUUUACUACCUUCACCAAGAAGUUCCAAGUUAGAACCCAUGUUCAUCAUAAUCUGUCAGCAAUUGAACUUUCCCAGAAGUCGAUUCCCCACAAAUUUCCAUCAAACACCUCAUACAUACACAACACAGCCAUCUCCAAACCCCAAAUUUAAUCACAAGAACAAGAUAAAGGAAAUUAAGAGUGCAAAAGAGCAGACAAAACACCAAUGGAAUUAAAAACCAAAUUAGACUUAACAAAUUGCUUGCAACUACAUCGUAAAAACUUGUGGAUACAUGUACACAAAAUAUACCCUUAUUUAACAGAAACAGCUCCUAAAAAACUAUACCUCUCAACCUUAAAUAGUACGACACAAAAAUAAAAGCAACCCAACCCUAAUUUAAUUGAAAACAAAAUGCUAAAAAUUGGAGCCAACCCAAGUUACCAACUACUGCUGCACAUAAUUAAAAUCCCUAACCCAUAAAUUAAUCUAAAAAGAAGAAAAAGCGUUAGGUCGAAUUGUGACCUCAUCCAUCUCUCUUCCCACGAAAAAAUAAGGGGAAGGGCGAUAAUCACACAACACGAACAUUAGCCAAACGCGGUCUCUACACUGCUGCACAUGCUUGGUCCGCCAUGGACCGGCGACCCUUCUACGACAAAUUG